GUUCCAUAUGCAAACAAUUUAUUAGAAAACAAUUUGGAAACAGCCAGUAAAGACAAAAUAGAUUUCGUGUCACAUUUGUACCAUGAAAGGCCCACCCCCAUCACUCAAGCAGAAGCAGACAGCUGCUGAAAGGCAAAGUCAGAAUUCGGCUAAAUUGUUAGCAUUCCCACUUGAAACCAUCAAUUCUCUAUUACGAAAUAUCUACACAAUAAUCUACUUAUUAACAAAUACAUUCGACAGUUCAAACCAACCAGUCAUAUUAACAUGCUAGCCAUUCAUUUGUUCGAAUUUCAACAGCAUAGCUACUGGAACCCUAUUGGGUUUGUUAGUAUUGGUUAUAAUUAUUCUUCAGUUUCUGCUAUGGAAAAUUAAAGUCCAAAUUCCAGUGAGAUAAUAAGGUGCAGACAGUUGAGUCUCGGCAGAUUUGUAAUUGACAUUGGUUUACGCGGUUAAGUGCAGUGCCAUACAAAUUAGCAAAAUGGUGACGAUAUGCUGGGACAUUUUUAAAAGCAGUAUGUAUUUGCUUUUGGCACCUAUAACGUCGACGGUUUUGAGUUUUCUUAAAUACACAUAAAUACCUACUCUGGGACGAAAUGACCGAUUCGCAUACAUCUUGGCGUGUGGCAUCACGCUUUAGUUCCCAUACUCCAGUAUUGCCCAAAAUAACUGACCGAUAUAUUUUUUAUCAAUGUGCGCGAGGUGUAACCCAUCAAAACACUCAAAUGCAACACAUAUAUUCCAAUCUUCAUAAAAUCUAUUCAAAACAACAACAAGUGUGAAAGCACGUUCAGAUCGGGGGCACUAUGAAGGCCCUCCUAAACCGUUUUUACUAACCGUUAGAAGUCUCGCUAAACCCAUUUAAGUGGUUUUGUUUGGCCUGGAGGUGGCGCUCGUGUAAGGGGAAAAGCUCAUUGGCUCAUAGCUUCCAUAUGGUUUCAGAUGAAAAUAUCAAUAUAGCGUUUACACUGGGCACGAGGAUGUGCUGGGGUAUCUGACCAAUGGCUUCAGAAGAGUAGCGUUUUAAAAUAGGGCACAUUUAAAAAAGUGAAAAAUACAUUGAAAAAUGUAUUUUAUUUCCACUGUUUUUGUUGUUGUUGAUGUUUUGGAAAGUGGGCUAAGAAGCAGAGGAGCUAAUUAUAGGAAGUUGUAUUCUUUGCCUUGCUGGUGGCACAGUGGGUAUUCUUCUGAAAUCCAGAAACAAUGCUUUAACUGCAACUAACUUUAAAUGCUUUUGUCUGAAUAAGGUGCUGGCCAUACAUAGAGAUAAAAGUUAACAGCAUUUCGAUAGAUUUCUAAGUUGCGAGUCACAAAUACAUAAUGCAACUGUCAAAUAUCAUUGUCAAGAAAUAUAUGCAUAUAGUUUCACAAACA
Molecule: long non-coding RNA, 1371 nt
Organism: Esox lucius (northern pike)
Lineage: Eukaryota; Metazoa; Chordata; Actinopteri; Esociformes; Esocidae
Source: Ensembl